UUGGCCUCGUACUUUGAGCAUUAUCUUCUUUAGCUAACUCUAGCAAUCUCUGAUAAAAUGAUCUCGUGAACCACAACUGUAACAAGUUUUAUUAUUAUUUUUCACUCAGCAAUCUCUAAAAUGUCGUCUUCUACACUGUUGACACUCAGGUUUAACAUCUUUUACGUUACCAAUACUCAAUACUGAUGUGGCUUGAGCUUUAGGGUUAGUGUAUUGCUUUCCGAGACCUCUAUU
This 234-nucleotide long non-coding RNA is filed under the name Gossypium barbadense (sea-island cotton). Its description in RNAcentral is "long non-coding RNA (GBAR_LNC006307)". Lineage: Eukaryota; Viridiplantae; Streptophyta; Magnoliopsida; Malvales; Malvaceae. The record is from RNAcentral.